CUCAGUGUCUUUAUUGACAAACCUAUCUCAGUGUCAGAAUACAAACAUGAGGCAUCAUCUGUUUUACAGAGAGUGUGACACUCCAACUGUGACCGACUUUUGAUAUGUUUAAUUCAGGAUGUCAAACUCCACUUUAAAGCUGCACUUCCACCUGGCAGAGUUUGGCACCAUUUAGUGCCGUAAAAUGCAGAGCUACAACUUGGCACACCUCGCUUGAUUUUCCCAAUCAGCUCUUGGCUGACUGGGUUUGACGCAGAUUCAUCCCGAGCAGGCAUACCGCUCAGAACAAGUCGGCAAAAGUCUAGUCGAGAUCAGGAGAAUUCCAAACAAAUUCAAAACCGGCAAGAAUUUAACUUUCCUAACUUCACUGGGUCGGCAUGCUGAUCAGCAAGAUCAGUAAAACUCAAAACGAUGACUCUAAGACACUAAAAUCACUCCUCGUGCCAGAAAUCCCACUGAGAGCUCGCACACAAAGUGUGCAUUCAUUUUGAUGAUGCUGAAAUGAUUUUAAGGCACUAAAAGCUGAUAUUUGGCCUUCUGAUUAAAAUCAGACAUCGGAACCUUACAUGUGACAUGUUCUUUUUCAAAUCAGACGGCAAGCACUUCUGAGAACAAAUCAAACAGAAUUUAAUGAAAUGCUGCGACGGACUGACUGCACACUCAAUGACCUUUUAUUUCAAAAACGCAUUUUGAAAAAUUAAAGCUAAAACAACACAAUUAUAUACCCCAACAAGAGUGACACAGGCAGUACUUUAAACUCAAAGUAUGCAGGUGAAACAUACUGCAAGACGGAGGUCAGGCAACAGUUUGAACCAGGGGGGAAAACAAACAAAAACAAAGUAUAUUUGGACCAUAACAUAACCUGUAAUUUAAAGUAAGACUGGAGA
Molecule: long non-coding RNA, 887 nt
Organism: Thalassophryne amazonica
Lineage: Eukaryota; Metazoa; Chordata; Actinopteri; Batrachoidiformes; Batrachoididae
Exons: 3
Source: RefSeq, a predicted model, not a curated record